ACUUCUUUCUACCAUAACUUUCAUUCUACAACUCCAAUUCUUGCGCCGCUUUCGCCUUUAGGAUCGUAUGAACGAGCUCUACAAGAUAAGUGUGUUUUGGGAGAAUGGUGGUCACUACUAGGCUGCUCAUUGAAGGUUGAGGAUUACUUUGGAGCUGUUAAGGUGAAGAAUCUACCUUGGGCUGAACCUACAGAGAACUCAGAGUAAUUUUGGGUUGAAGUGGAAGUUGGGUACAUCUUUCAUAAGUGCAGCCAUCACCGGAGAAAAAUAAGCAAACUUAUGCUUGAGGUGUUGCCCAACCUAGAAAAGAAGAAGCAUUAACCAGCAGAUAUUGAAAAUGAAGCUUGGAGUGCCGCACCAAGCUUUUAAGCAAGCUCAUGGAUUGAAUAAAUGAAUAAGAAAAUGGGUGUAGCCAAUAAAGAAGAGGAGUCUACAACACUAUAGAGGGAAUUGUAUAGACAAAGGCAAAUGGAGGAUAAUAAAUAAAUGUAUGGCUAUCUGAUUGUGGGCUGACGGCAAGUGGUGAGAAUUUGUCUAUUCAUGGAAAAAUACGAUGCAACAAGAGCAGUU
Molecule: RNA transcript, 570 nt
Organism: Prunus mume (Japanese apricot)
Lineage: Eukaryota; Viridiplantae; Streptophyta; Magnoliopsida; Rosales; Rosaceae
Source: RefSeq, a predicted model, not a curated record